GUAGGGAAUAUUGGGCAAUGGAUGCAAGUCUGACCCAGCCAUCCCGCGUGCCGGAAGAAGGCCCUCAGGGUUGUAAACGGCUUUUGACGGUGAAGAAUCGACAGGAUGCGUCCUGUUUUUACGGUAGCCGUUGAAUAAGCACCGGCUAACUCCGUGCCAGCAGCCGCGGUAAUACGGAGGGUGCGAGCGUUGUUCGGAUUUAUUGGGUUUAAAGGGUGCGUAGGCUGGAAGGUCAGUCAGCGGUGAAAAGCUGUCGCUUAACGAUAGUCUUGCCGCAGAUACUUCCUUUCUUGGAUGAGGAGGAGGCCACUGGAACGGAUGGUGUAGCGGUGAAAUGCAUAGAUAUCAUCCAGAACACCGAUUGCGAAGGCAGGUGGCUGUACCUUAAUCGACGCUGAUUCACGAAAGCAUGGGGAGCAAACAGGAUUAGAGACCCGGGUAGUCC
RNAcentral lists this ribosomal RNA (445 nucleotides) under uncultured bacterium. RNAcentral's name for it is "partial 16S ribosomal RNA". It matches the Rfam family "Bacterial small subunit ribosomal RNA", at positions 354 to 796 of the family's 1533-position model. The record is from RNAcentral.